RNAcentral lists this ribosomal RNA (513 nucleotides) under uncultured bacterium. Its description in RNAcentral is "partial 16S ribosomal RNA". It matches the Rfam family "Bacterial small subunit ribosomal RNA", at positions 28 to 523 of the family's 1533-position model. The record is from RNAcentral.
GAUGAACGCUGGCGGCGUGCCAAAUACAUGCAAGUCGAACGCGCAGCGAAAGGUGCUCGCACCUUUCAAGUGAGUGGCGAACGGGUGAGUAACACGUGGACAACCUGCCUCAAGGCUGGGGAUAGCAUUUGGAAACAGAUGCUAAUACCGAAUAAAACUCAGUGUCGCAUGACACAAAGUUAAAAGGCGCUUUGGCGUCACCUAGCGAUGGAUACGCGGUGCAUUAGUUAGUUGGUGGGGUAAAGGCCUACCAAGACAAUGAUGCAUAGCCGAGUUGAGAGACUGAUCGGCCACAUUGGGACUGAGACACGGCCCAAACUCCUACGGGAGGCUGCAGUAGGGAAUCUUCCACAAUGGGCGAAAGCCUGAUGGAGCAACGCCGCGUGUGUGAUGAAGGCUUUCGGGUCGUAAAGCACUGUUGUAUGGGAAGAACAGCUAGAAUAGGGAAUGAUUUUAGUUUGACGGUACCAUACCAGAAAGGGACGGCUAAAUACGUGCCAGCAGCCGCCGUAA